Molecule: ribosomal RNA, 496 nt
Filed under: uncultured bacterium
Lineage: Bacteria
Description: partial 16S ribosomal RNA
Rfam family: Bacterial small subunit ribosomal RNA
Source: RNAcentral
ACGAACGCUGGCGGCGUGCCUAAUACAUGCAAGUUGAGCGCUGAAGGUUGGUACUUGUACCAACUGGAUGAGCAGCGAACGGGUGAGUAACGCGUGGGGAAUCUGCCUUUGAGCGGGGGACAACAUUUGGAAACGAAUGCUAAUACCGCAUAAAAACUUUAAACACAAGUGUUAAGUUUGAAAGAUGCAAUUGCAUCACUCAAAGAUGAUCCCGCGUUGUAUUAGCUAGUUGGUGAGGUAAAGGCUCACCAAGGCGAUGAUACAUAGCCGACCUGAGAGGGUGAUCGGCCACAUUGGGACUGUGACACGGCCCAAACUCCUACGGGAGGCAGCAGUAGGGAAUCUUCGGCAAUGGACGAAAGUCUGACCGAGCAACGCCGCGUGAGUGAAGAAGGUUUUCGGAUCGUAAAACUCUGUUGGUAGAGAAGAACGUUGGUGAGAGUGGAAAGCUCAUCAAGUGACGGUAACUACCCAGAAAGGGACGGCUAACUACGUG